ACGUCUCCUUUUAUUCGUCUGCGUUACUGUAGCUACGAGGGAAGGGAUAAGGUCUCGAGUGCUCGCUUCCUCCGGCCGCCUCCUUCUCUUCCUCUUCCUCUUCCUCUCCCUCGGUGUAGCCCCUCCACCUCCCUCCUCCAUCGACGGCGCCUGGUCCAGAUGGGGCUCAUCUCGUCUCCAUGGAGAGCAGGGGUGGACAAUGGGAAGCGGUGGGGAGAAGCGAGCGGCAGCCGGCAGGGAGAGCCACGACGGGGUGGGCAGUGGGAAGCGGUGGGGAGAAGCGAGCGCCUGCCGGCAGGGAGAGCCACGACGAUGGUCGGCGUCAGCUGCCACUUCCUCCCCCCGCCGGCACCGCGAGGCCGCCGAGCCCGCGCCCGAGCUUCCCGUCCGUGAGCGGUCACUCCGCCCACCGGCCGUCCCCCGUCUGUGUGCUUCUUCUCGGGACGCCGACGCCAUGGAGCUCAUCAAGCUCCCUCUCUGCUGCAGGAGGAUUGGAUCGGAUUGGUUUCUACAUGCUCUAUUAUCUGUUUGAGAACCGAGUUGCGGCCCUCCAAAUCUUCAGCCCCAGAAGGAGGAUUUGAGAGUGGAGAAGGGUCAACUGAAUGUGAUUUGGAGGAAGGAGUUGUCCAGGAAUCAAAAUGUUAUUAUUCUACUAUUCUGCAGGGGAGAAUCUAAAGAUUAUUUGUUUCUUUUUAUGCCUGCAGAUCGCGUUUAGUGUUUGGGAUUCACAUCCUACAUUGAUAAGGUCUGAAUUUAACAUCCACUUUUAACACUGGGAUCCUCAAGUGUUUCAGUUCGUACUUUGCCGACGUACAAUCUAUUGGCCACAUUUUCUAGCACACUCAUUCCAACUAAAGUCAGCUCCUGCUUGCACUUCUCCACUGAGUGAAUACUAAUAGUUCUAAAAAGAUAAACCACCCAUAGAAUUGGUUCUAAUUAGAUCCUCUGAAAGAUGCAAGCAGCUAGAGUACCUUAGUCCAUAGGAGUCCUGCAACUGGUUCAGAAGUUCUUGAGUAAACUGGAUCAGUGAGAAUAUUAAUUGAGUCGCUGCUCGAGAAACAAAAUAGAAUAACGACAGCGUAGCUAAUACCAUUUGUCUGUGCAUGAUGUAUUUUGAUCUCAAGUGCAUUUGAAUGGCUUGAUUUUUGCAGAGAUCUUGUCACCUGCGCCCUUGUUUGGUCGUACAUAAAACUGUCAUCUUGCUUUAAAGUCAAGUGGUCAGGUCUUUGAUAGUACGCAUGGCUGAACCCACCUUUUGUUGAAUUUGGGAACCGUCUAAUAUAGCUAUUUUUUAAGAAGGAGCUUGAACAGAUCUCAGUAUAUGUUAAUUUUGUAGAACUAAAGGUUAGCACAGAAUUGUAUGGUUUUAUUUUCUGGGUCAAAAGCUUGAUUCAUGCAGUACAUUCUCUAAUUCUCGAUACAUUUCAGUAUUCAAUUUUUUCAUUAACAAUACAAAAUAGUCAUCUUGCUUCAGAUUCAAGUGACCAGGUCGGUGUCGGCCUGCCCAUAGCGCCUCCACUCCAUCCCCCUCUGCGUCACUCCUACCACCGCUCGAGGCCAUGGCCAUGAUGCCGCCGGUGGAGUAUUAUUUUUCUACGUUUUAUCCAUGUGGAUCUAACCUUACAUCUACUGGCCAACCUUUUGAUGAAGUAAACAUUUACAACUCUGUUGUGGCUUGUGAUUUACUUAUCUGACUUUUUUCAUUAUUUGUUGCUUUUACAGGCUGUAAUUGUGCCUGACUGACUAGAUCACCACAUGCAGACUAUUCAUUCCCUGCCAAACUGCACAUGCUAGCUACUAUUUGAAGAUGACGUUGUAAAAAAAUGCAUAAUCUGGGGAUGGCAUGGUGAUGCUGCUGGUCGAGAAGUACCAUCCCAUUCUUUCCUUACCUGCCAAUGCUUCCUCCUGCCUUGCCAGCCACGCGUGUCCUCACCUUUGUUCAUCAAUUCGUGUGCAGGUAUGAAUCGGUGAUGUUUUUGACGCCCAUAGAGCCAUUACCUCGUGCAUGUGUAUUUUGUGUGCCAGUUUACCAGUUAGUGAGUGAUAAUGUCCGUAUGAAUGUUUCAUCGUUUAGCAAGUGAUCAGCAACAGGCAUCUCUUACUUUUGGAUUGAAGUGCAGAUCUUGCUAAAGAGAUGACCAUGGAGUCAUUUAUGUAUUCUUAUGCCCCAAUGCUUCAUUAAUUAUUCUUAUUAUGCAAUAUAAAAUUAUUUCUUACCGUCUUCUAUUGUUUCCUCUGAUUUUCUCAGUUAUUCAGAGAACACCACAUGUUACAUGAAUUCUAGACUACUUUCCUAGAGGUAGUUGUUAGAAUCAUCUUCUUGAAUUUGCAUGCUUAGCAUCUAAUAUUUCACACUCGCAAAUUGUAAUAUCUCACGCUUACCAAUUUUUAGAAUCAGGUUCUUGAGUUUGCAUGCUUAACCGUGUCCCUGUGCAAUUGCUCACCAACCUCGCCAAUUGUGAGUUUGUCCCACAUAGUGGAGUUUCUGUGAGUUUUUGUAGUCUAUAAAUUCUUGGAAAUUCUCUUGUUGCUGCUAUAAUGUGGGUGUGUUCGGCUUCCUUCUUCAUUUAAGGUGAAUCCUUGCUUCCAGGUUGGCCUAUGAAAUGAUGUAGUUUCUGCUGGAAAAUAAGUUGUUAUGCAAUUAUAGUUAGGUUGCCAAUUUUCCUUCAUAACUGCAUUUAAUGGGUAGCUGUUAUGCUCACUUUGCUCAAAGAAAGGUUGUCUUGCCAUGCUACUUUGUGCUUUAAGAAAUAGGCUGACACCAAACCAGUAAUCCUGGACUUCUGCUUUGUUGGCCGAAAGUUACUAAUUUUGUUUUUCUUGUUAUCUUUAGCCAUUCCAAAACAUUUAUCUGGUUUUGUAGAAUUACUGACCAUAGAAUUAUAGCCGGCCAUAUUUUUGAAUGCGUGAACCUCACAUAGAUAUCAUGCUAAUGUAGUUUGACGGAAGUCGUAAAACCAAUGGAUAGGCAUCGUCUUCUGCUAAGGUUCCUUUCACCCUUCUUUAGAACCCAACAAGAAUUCAUCAAAAAAUUAAAGAUCUUGGUUGGUGAUUCGUUUCAAUGGCCGGUAUAGUAAGGCUACAUUAAUUAUCAAAUUAUUCUUCAUUUCUUUUUGCCUGCCCUUGUUUAACAACCUAAUACUGAUUGAUCAGGUAUAUUGCAAUGAGUGCUUACUUAUGGUUUGUCCCCUGUUAUUUUUUGAUUCCAGUCUUCAUACUUUCAGACACCUUCGAUAUAUAUAGGAAGAAGAAAGUAUUCGCUCCAGACGAAGAUGUCUAGCUUGCCUGUGUGCUGUAACAUUAAUCAGUGCAUCGGGCCCAACGAUUUCUAUCAUUGGAACCUUGAUGAUUUAUCUCAUUUCAACGUAAUCUAACCCCUCUGAUUUUUGUCAGUACAUGAUUGUAUGCCUCCUAUGCCCGCUUAAUUGUGUGUUCAUUUUGUUAAUCAAGAAACAUCUGAUUUUAUGGCUGGCGUGCUGCUCCAGCGCGACCGCUUCGUGUGUUGCCUCGAGUCGCGUGGCCACUACUCUCUCGCCGAGGCGGAGGCAGCUUCCACUCUCGACGCCCUCCGUUGCGCGCUCUCGCAGGCGGCGUUUGCAAAGCCUUGUCACGGCGCUGCAAGUGUUGCCCCCCUCCUCCCCAAGGGCAAGGUGAAGGAAGGUGCCUGUGUGGUUCUUCUGCAGCUCGCGGCAAGGAUUGUUGUGUCCAACCUACACAAGAAUGCCAAGAAGUCCUUCUCGGAGAUGAUUAAGGACAUGUACCUCCACUACAAUGGGAGAUCUGGGCUGCUUCUUUGUGGCUUCCAAACUUGAAAUGUUUGUUUGAAAGUUAGUUUAGUUUUUUGUUGUGGAUUCACAGCUUCUCACAUGUACCAUCCUCUUAGACCUUUAGAUUUCUAAAGAAACUAAAUGAAGAUAUGGUGGUAUGGUCUCAAUAGUACAACUUAAAGCCUUCCAUGCUUUAUAUUUUCUUUAAAAUUUUCUCUUGAAAAAUCAUGUAUCUAUGUUAGAUCCGGUGAGAAAAGGCGGCUUCCAAGCA
RNA transcript from Triticum dicoccoides, 4038 nucleotides. RefSeq lists it as uncharacterized. The record is from RefSeq and is a predicted model, not a curated record. The transcript has 6 exons. Lineage: Eukaryota; Viridiplantae; Streptophyta; Magnoliopsida; Poales; Poaceae.